RNAcentral lists this ribosomal RNA (459 nucleotides) under uncultured bacterium. RNAcentral's name for it is "partial 16S ribosomal RNA". It matches the Rfam family "Bacterial small subunit ribosomal RNA", at positions 338 to 795 of the family's 1533-position model. The record is from RNAcentral.
CCUACGGGUGGCAGCAGUGAGGAAUAUUGGUCAAUGGUCGGGAGCCUGAACCAGCCAAGCCGCGUGAGGGAGGAAGGUACAGAGUAUCGUAAACCUCUUUUGUCAGGGGACAAAGGCUGCGACGCGUGGCCGUAUGAGGGUACCUGAAGAAAAAGCAUCGGCUAACUCCGUGCCAGCAGCCGCGGUAAUACGGAGGAUGCGAGCGUUAUCCGGAUUUAUUGGGUUUAAAGGGUGCGCAGGCGGCGUGUCAAGUCAGCGGUAAAAUGUCGGGGCUCAACCCCGGCCCGCCGUUGAAACUGGCAGUCUCGAGUUGGAGAGAAGUAUGCGGAAUGCGUGGUGUAGCGGUGAAAUGCAUAGAUAUCGCGAAGAACCCCGAUUGCGAAGGCAGCAUGCCGGCUCCACACUGACGCUGAGGCACGAAAGCGUGGGUAUCGAACAGGAUUAGAUACCCCGGUAGUC